GGAGAGAUGCCGGAGCGGUCGAACGGGGCGGUCUCGAAAACCGUUAGGGGUGCAAGCCCCUCCAGGGUUCGAAUCCCUGUCUCUCCG
RNAcentral lists this transfer RNA (87 nucleotides) under Rubellimicrobium thermophilum DSM 16684. It matches the Rfam family "tRNA". Rfam says of the family: Transfer RNA (tRNA) molecules are approximately 80 nucleotides in length. Their secondary structure includes four short double-helical elements and three loops (D, anti-codon, and T loops). Lineage: Bacteria; Pseudomonadati; Pseudomonadota; Alphaproteobacteria; Rhodobacterales; Roseobacteraceae. The record is from Rfam by way of RNAcentral.